GCGUCAUGAGACUAGCUACGGUCUCAUGACAAUGGCAACUGUGUGAUUUGAAAUGUUGUGGAUUCGUAUUUAGGACCGCAGUCCUAAACUACCUACGUAUCCCCCUCGCUAUCCUGAGGAAGAAUCAGACCCCCUCGUAGUUCGACACUUGAAACUGUGGUGAUGCAUGUUCUUCUACGCCUUACACACCUACAGGUGACAUGUUGAUGCGUGUUCUUCUACGCCUUACACAACUAUGCCAUAUGCCCUAAACAACGUCUAAGGACUUACCAAAAAAUAUCUAUUUCAUGAUUUGAAAAAACUGAGAUGACUGGGUCUCAAAACUCUUUUUGUGAUUUUUGUGCUUCUUGUAUGCUACUUCCUAUCAUGGGCAUGCUGAUUUUGCUAGAGAUUCUAAAAAAACUUAGUCCUCUGGGGGACCUCUUUUUGCAAAAACUUUCUUUUAGCCUCAAAAUUUUUGAGGAAAAUUAUUCACUGAAAAGACUUCCUUAAGGUCACAAUACAAUUUCUCUCUGAUUUUUCUUUUUCUUCUCUCCCCCCAUGGUUUCUGCCUUGACUCAUUUCUCUUCCAUGAACUCCAUUCUCUGUGCCCUAACUUUUGCCUGAAAUGCUCUUUCAAGUUUUCAUUUCAACGAGCUUGCUCUAACUUUUGCCUAAGCGGCCCUUUCAGGUUUUCCACUUAGCGAGCUCUCUUUUUUUCUUUUCUUUUUCUUGUUCUUUUUCUCUUUUUUUGAAAUUAGACAAUCACCAGGAUAUUCAUAUCAAGCACCUAUUCUAUCAUGCUCACAAGACAAUAGGUUAAAUCAAAACAAUACAGUUCAAUUACUUAAUCUUUUGAUAUAUCCCUCAAGACACAAAACAUUCACAAUCAUAAUUCAAUAAAACAUAUUCCUGGUUAAUGCAAUAAAAACUUCUUUAUUUAUUCAGGUACACCAUUACUCCCUCUUACAUUUAGUUUUGCCAAAUUUCUAACCUUCCAAAGUUAGAAAUAAGCUUUAUAACCUGCCAAAUGGCCUUUUCAGAUUUUCCAUCCAGAUCUUCUCUCAUCUCUCCUUUUGCCUAGACUGCCUUUUGCAGCUUUUCAAUCUAGCAUUUUUCUUUUCUUUUCUUUCCUUCUUUGACCCUUACUUUUUCCUAGACCGCCUUUUGCAGGUUUU
Molecule: unclassified non-coding RNA, 1157 nt
Filed under: Hevea brasiliensis (rubber tree)
Lineage: Eukaryota; Viridiplantae; Streptophyta; Magnoliopsida; Malpighiales; Euphorbiaceae
Source: RNAcentral